Molecule: ribosomal RNA, 406 nt
Filed under: uncultured bacterium
Lineage: Bacteria
Description: partial 16S ribosomal RNA
Rfam family: Bacterial small subunit ribosomal RNA
Source: RNAcentral
AUUGAACGCUGGCGGCAGGCCUAACACAUGCAAGUCGAACGAGUGGCGGAAGGGUGAGUAAUGUCUGGGAAACUGCCUGAUGGAGGGGGAUAACUACUGGAAACGGUAGCUAAUACCGCAUACCAUCAGAUGUGCCCAGAUGGGAAUAGCUAGUUGGUGGGGUAACGGCGCACCAAGGCGAAGAUCCCUAGCUGGUCUGAGAGGAUGACCAGCUAUCCUGGAACUGAGACACGGUCCAGACUCCUACGGGAGGCAGCAGUGGGUAAUAGUGCACAAUGGGCGCAAGCCUGAUGCAGCCAUGCCGCGUGUAUGAAGAAGGCCUUCGGGUUGUAAAGUACGUUCAGCGGGGAGGCGUUACCCGCAGAAGAAGCACCGGCUAACUCCGUGCCAGCAGCCGCGGUAAUUC